RNAcentral lists this ribosomal RNA (253 nucleotides) under uncultured bacterium. RNAcentral's name for it is "partial 16S ribosomal RNA". It matches the Rfam family "Bacterial small subunit ribosomal RNA", at positions 524 to 776 of the family's 1533-position model. The record is from RNAcentral.
UACGUAGGGUGCAAGCGUUAAUCGGAAUUACUGGGCGUAAAGCGUGCGCAGGCGGUUUUGUAAGUCUGACGUGAAAUACCCGGGCUCAACCUGGGAAUUGCGAUGGAGACUGCAAGGCUUGAAUCUGGCAGAGGGGGGUAGAAUUCCACGUGUAGCAGUGAAAUGCGUAGAGAUGUGGAGGAACACCGAUGACGAAGGCAGCCCCCUGGGUCAAGAUUGACGCUCAUGCACGAAAGCGUGGGGAGCAAACAGG